AAGUCGUAACAAGGUUUCCGUAGGUGAACCUGCGGAAGGAUCAUUAUCACGUAUAUCCACGUUAUAAACCCUUCUUUGAAUUGUUUUUAACAAUAAAUCUCUGGAACAGUCAUUCGUGACUGGAAUUGCUUCUGAAUUGGGUUAUGAAAGUAUUUUAACAAGACACUGUUCAUCCUUCACGGGAUGAAUUGAAAUGGGAAAAUUAUUGUAAUUUGAGAUCCCAGAGUACUGUUAUUAGUUCAUAACUAUCUAUUCGUUGGCGUCUAUGAGAUUUGUAACUCAAAUUACAUUUAUAGAAUUAACUAUUUUAACCCCUUUUGAUAAAUUGAACUAACGAUUCUCUACUCUAGCCCUAAAAAAGCCUGAGAUUGAAUAAAAUACGAAACAAAGAACAACUCUUAGCAACGGAUAUCUUGGUUCUCGUAACGAUGAAAAACGCAGC
Molecule: unclassified non-coding RNA, 442 nt
Filed under: fungal sp.
Lineage: Eukaryota; Fungi
Description: partial internal transcribed spacer region
Rfam family: Eukaryotic small subunit ribosomal RNA (bases 1-46)
Source: RNAcentral